UGCCACCAUGAGGGGGGAGAGUUGCUUCCUUGAAUCGAAAGAUGUCGAAACAUGGGAGGAAAAAUACACAUACACGAGCGAAGAUUGGAUUCUUGCCGAGUUUGAAACCGAGCGCUUGGUGCCACUAGAUUUCCUCUUCGCCCCGAAGGAAAUCGGGCUAAGCAGUACUUGUUGUGUUGUGGUGACGGUGAUUUGGACCGAACUCUAGAGCGUGUAGUGGCAGUAAAUUUAUAUUGCAUGCUGUUGCUUUCGGCUUAACAAUUGAUAGGAUUGAUAGCGAGCACUAUAAAAAUCUUCCCUCAUUCUCACAUCAAACCUUCCCGGUUGGGUUGAAUGUUAAAGUUUGCCCGUGCAACAACAAACCCAUCAUCGUUAACCUUCGAUAAGGACGACGGAAUAAACGAUGGCGAAUCCCACCAGCAAUGAUGCAAACCAAGCGGCGACACCAACCAACCGCGACUCGUCAGCCGCGUUUGUUACGAUAUUGUGAAAAAGUAAUUAAAAAUUGUUAAUGAAAGUAUGAAA
Anopheles funestus (African malaria mosquito) is the source of this 525-nucleotide long non-coding RNA. RefSeq lists it as uncharacterized. The transcript is spliced from 2 exons. The record is from RefSeq and is a predicted model, not a curated record. Lineage: Eukaryota; Metazoa; Arthropoda; Insecta; Diptera; Culicidae.